RNAcentral lists this ribosomal RNA (583 nucleotides) under Trichoderma atroviride. RNAcentral describes it as "eukaryotic LSU rRNA". The stretch from base 200 to 353 matches the Rfam family "5.8S ribosomal RNA". The record is from RNAcentral. Lineage: Eukaryota; Fungi; Ascomycota; Sordariomycetes; Hypocreales; Hypocreaceae.
GCGGAGGGAUCAUUACCGAGUUUACAACUCCCAAACCCAAUGUGAACCAUACCAAAUGUCGCCUCGGCGGGGUCACGCCCCGGGUGCGUCGCAGCCCCGGAACCAGGCGCCCGCCGGAGGGACCAACCAAACUCUUUUCUGUAGUCCCCUCGCGGACGUUAUUUCUUACAGCUCUGAGCAAAAAUUCAAAAUGAAUCAAAACUUUCAACAACGGAUCUCUUGGUUCUGGCAUCGAUGAAGAACGCAGCGAAAUGCGAUAAGUAAUGUGAAUUGCAGAAUUCAGUGAAUCAUCGAAUCUUUGAACGCACAUUGCGCCCGCCAGUAUUCUGGCGGGCAUGCCUGUCCGAGCGUCAUUUCAACCCUCGAACCCCUCCGGGGGGUCGGCGUUGGGGACCUCGGGAGCCCCUAAGACGGGAUCCCGGCCCCGAAAUACAGUGGCGGUCUCGCCGCAGCCUCUCCUGCGCAGUAGUUUGCACAACUCGCACCGGGAGCGCGGCGCGUCCACGUCCGUAAAACACCCAACUUCUGAAAUGUUGACCUCGGAUCAGGUAGGAAUACCCGCUGAACUUAAGCAUAUCAAAAA